RNAcentral lists this ribosomal RNA (1947 nucleotides) under human metagenome. RNAcentral describes it as "bacterial LSU rRNA". It matches the Rfam family "Bacterial large subunit ribosomal RNA", at positions 1 to 1977 of the family's 2925-position model. The record is from RNAcentral.
GUCAAGUACAAAGAGCAUCGGGUGGAUGCCUUGGCACUGGGAGCCGAAGAAGGACGUGAUAAGCUGCGAUAAGCUGCGGUAAGGAGCACAUAUCCGAUAUACCCGCAGAUUUCCGAAUGGGGGAACCCACAUACGGUAAUGCGUAUGUAUCAUUAAGUGAAUACAUAGCUUAAUGAAGGGAACGGGGUGAACUGAAACAUCUAAGUAGCCCUAGGAAGAGAAAGAAAAAUCGAUUUCCUGAGUAGCGGCGAGCGAAAGGGAAAGAGGCCAAACCAAAUUGUUUACAGUUUGGGGUUGUGGACCACCGACAUUGACGAAGUUAUGCGAGCCGAAUAGGGUUGGAAAGCUCAAGCAGAGAAGGUAAUACUCCUGUAGGCGAAGCAGAAAGCGCAUAGGUGGCACCAGAGUAGGACCGGACACGUGUAACCCGGUCUGAAGCAGGAGGGACCACCCUCCAAGCCUAAAUACUACCCAGUGACCGAUAGCGAAUAGUACCGUGAGGGAAAGGUGAAAAGAACCCCGGGAGGGGAGUGAAAUAGAAUCUGAAACCUGAUGCUUACAAGCAUAGGGAGCGCAAGUGACCUAGUACUUUUUGUAGAACGGGCCAACGAGUUAUGGUAUGUAGCGAGGUUAAGUUGCUGGAGCAACGGAGCCGUAGAGAAAUCGAGUCUGAAUAGGGCGAGAGUUACAUGCUGUAGACCCGAAACCGGGUGACCUAUCCAUGAGCAGGUUGAAGUAACCGUAAAAGGUUAUGGAGGACCGAACCUAUAUCUGUUGAAAAAGGUUAGGAUGACUUGUGGAUAGCGGUGAAAUUCCAAUCGAACUCGGAUAUAGCUGGUUCUCCUCGAAAUAGCUUUAGGGCUAGCCUCAAGGUAAAGAUACACGGGGGUAGAGCACUGACUGUUCGCGGGGCCUUCACCGGUUACCAACAACUAUCAAACUCCGAAUACCGUGCUAUCAUACUUGGGAGUCAGACUAUGAGAGAUAAGUUCCAUGGUCGAAAGGGAAACAGCCCAGAUCAACAGCUAAGGUCCCAAAGAGUAAGUUAAGUGGAAAAGGAUGUGGGAUUGCACAAACAGCUAGGAUGUUGGCUUAGAAGCAGCCAUACAUUUAAAGAGUGCGUAAUAGCUCACUAGUCGAGUGAUCCUGCGCCGAAGAUAAACGGGGCUCAAACUUACCACCGAAGCUUUGGAAUUAGUAUAACUAAUUGGUAGAGGAGCAUUCUAUACAGGUAGAAGGAGGCGCGUAAGCAAAUCUGGACGGUAUAGAAGAGAGAAUGUUGGCAUGAGUAGCGUAAGGCGGGUGAGAAUCCCGUCCGCCGAAAAUCUAAGGUUUCCUGAGGAAGGUUCGUCCUCUCAGGGUAAGUCGGGACCUAAGCCGAGAGCGAACGCUGUAGGCGAUGGACAACAGGUUGAUAUUCCUGUACCACCAAGGAUUGUUUGAAUGAAGUGGGGACACAGAAGGAUAGAUUGAGCACGCCGUUGGUUGAGCGUGUCCAAGCAGCAAGGCUUGAAAGUAGGCAAAUCCGCUUUCUAUAAGGCUGAGCUGUGAUGGGGUGGUCGAAUGACCGGUAGCAAUCGAUUUCACGCUGUCAAGAAAAGCCGCUAAUGAGAUCCAAGGUGCCCGUACCGCAAACCGACACAGGUAGAUGAGGAGAGAAUCCUAAGGUGAGCGAGCGAACUAUUGUUAAGGAACUCGGCAAAAUAACCCCGUAACUUCGGGAGAAGGGGUGCCUGCUUCGGCAGGCCGCAGUGAAGAGGUCCAGGCAACUGUUUACCAAAAACACAGGUCUCUGCUAAAGCGAAAGCUGAUGUAUAGGGGCUGACGCCUGCCCGGUGCUGGAAGGUUAAGGGGAAGUGUUAGGGCAACCGAAGCACAGAACUUAAGCCCCAGUAAACGGCGGCCGUAACUAUAACGGUCCUAAGGUAGCGAAAUUCCUUGUCGGGU